UGGGGAAUUUUGGACAAUGGGCGAAAGCCUGAUCCAGCAAUGCCGCGUGUGUGAAGAAGGCCUUCGGGUUGUAAAGCACUUUUGUCCGGAAAGAAAUCCUCUGGGUUAAUACCUCGGGGGGAUGACGGUACCGGAAGAAUAAGCACCGGCUAACUACGUGCCAGCAGCCGCGGUCAAUACGUAGGGGUGCAAGCGUUAAUCGGAAUUACUGGGCGUAAAGCGUGCGCAGGCGGUUUUGUAAGACGGAUGUGAAAUCCCCGGGCUUAACCUGGGAACUGCAUUCGUGACUGCAAGGCUAGAGUAUGGCAGAGGGGGGUAGAAUUCCACGUGUAGCAGUGAAAUGCGUAGAGAUGUGGAGGAAUACCGAUGGCGAAGGCAGCCCCCUGGGCCAAUACUGACGCUCAUGCACGAAAGCGUGGGGAGCAAACAGGAUUAGAUACCCUGGUAGUCCACGCCCUAAACGAUGUCAACUAGUUGUUGGGGAUUCAUUUCCUUAGUAACGUAGCUAACGCGUGAAGUUGACCGCCUGGGGAGUACGGUCGCAAGAUU
This 549-nucleotide ribosomal RNA is filed under the name uncultured bacterium. RNAcentral describes it as "partial 16S ribosomal RNA". It matches the Rfam family "Bacterial small subunit ribosomal RNA", at positions 355 to 895 of the family's 1533-position model. The record is from RNAcentral.